Molecule: long non-coding RNA, 780 nt
Organism: Hylaeus volcanicus
Lineage: Eukaryota; Metazoa; Arthropoda; Insecta; Hymenoptera; Colletidae
Exons: 6
Source: RefSeq, a predicted model, not a curated record
AAAAAAACAACGCCAUCUUGUGUUUACUUUAAAAUCGACAAAAAUAUUUCACCUGGCUAAUUACAUCAGGAGAAUCAAGGUCGCAUAUAUCUUGAUUUACUCCUCCCUAGCGUUAAAAAUAAAAAAAAACCAACCCCAUGAAAAUCCUAUGGCUGGGGAACCUGAAAAAAUAAUACCGGUCUAUAAAAAACGUUUAAAUGAUAUAGCACAUUGUAAUUGAGGUACCGUAACGAAAAUUGAUUACUAUUUGAAAUAGAUUUUCGGAUACAAGUUCAUUAAUUAUUCUUGCCUUUAUACAAUCAGCCGCCAUUUCCAACUUUGUAGGGAAAAUCAAAGAUAGGAUCUAUGCCAAGUUCCGUCUUGAAGGUAUACGUCCCCAGCUGUUGGGAAAUGGAAGGAGCCAUAAAUCGCGAGUCUUCAACUGAGUGACAAUAUUAUUUUUAUUUUCUAUUAUUUCUAUAAUAGUCAUUACGAUCAGUGCCUUCAGUGUUUUCUCCUCCAAAACCUCCUAGAAGUAGAACCUGUGGUUUCCUUGUGACUUCUUGAGUUAUAUUUUCCUUAACAGUUAAACGGACUAUUGGUGUUUCGCAUCUGGUUAAAUUCAAAAUUUAUCUAAAAAAUAAAAUAUACUGAAUUCACGGUAUUUCUUCCCAUAUAUAUCUUCCGCCUUUCUUAUUGUAACAAGAGAUGGAUACGUUCUUUCAAGCAAUUUCAGAGUUUCCCAUGCCUCACUAUAAUUUAUGUCUUCAUACACUUUAUAAUCUGAGUUAUUCAUUGCAU